AGAGUUUGAUCAUGGCUCAGAUUGAACGCUGGCGGCAGGCCUAACACAUGCAAGUCGAACGGUAACAGGAAGCAGCUUGCUGCUUCGCUGACGAGUGGCGGACGGGUGAGUAAUGUCUGGGAAACUGCCUGAUGGAGGGGGAUAACUACUGGAAACGGUGGCUAAUACCGCAUAACGUCGCAAGACCAAAGAGGGGGACCUUCGGGCCUCUUGCCAUCAGAUGUGCCCAGAUGGGAUUAGCUAGUUUGGUGAGGUAACGGCUCACCAAGGCGACGAUCCCUAGCUGGUCUGAGAGGAUGACCAGCCACACUGGAACUGAGACACGGUCCAGACUCCUACGGGAGGCAGCAGUGGGGAAUAUUGCACAAUGGGCGCAAGCCUGAUGCAGCCAUGCCGCGUGUAUGAAGAAGGCCUUCGGGUUGUAAAGUACUUUCAGCGGGGAGGAAGGUGUUGUGGUUAAUAACCACAGCAAUUGACGUUACCCGCAGAAGAAGCACCGGCUAACUCCGUGCCAGCAGCCGCGGUAAUACGGAGGGUGCAAGCGUUAAUCGGAAUUACUGGGCGUAAAGCGCACGCAGGCGGUCUGUCAAGUCGGAUGUGAAAUCCCCGGGCUCAACCUGGGAACUGCAUUCGAAACUGGCAGGCUUGAGUCUUGUAGAGGGGGGGUAGAAUUCCAGGUGUAGCGGUGAAAUGCGUAGAGAUCUGGAGGAAUACCGGUGGCGAAGGCGGCCCCCUGGACAAAGACUGACGCUCAGGUGCGAAAGCGUGGGGAGCAAACAGGAUUAGAUACCCUGGUAGUCCACGCCGUAAACGAUGUCUACUUGGAGGUUGUGCCCUUGAGGCGUGGCUUCCGGAGCUAACGCGUUAAGUAGACCGCCUGGGGAGUACGGCCGCAAGGUUAAAACUCAAAUGAAUUGACGGGGGCCCGCACAAGCGGUGGAGCAUGUGGUUUAAUUCGAUGCAACGCGAAGAACCUUACCUGGUCUUGACAUCCACAGAACUUUCCAGAGAUGGAUUGGUGCCUUCGGGAACUGUGAGACAGGUGCUGCAUGGCUGUCGUCAGCUCGUGUUGUGAAAUGUUGGGUUAAGUCCCGCAACGAGCGCAACCCUUAUCCUUUGUUGCCAGCGGUCCGGCCGGGAACUCAAAGGAGACUGCCAGUGAUAAACUGGAGGAAGGUGGGGAUGACGUCAAGUCAUCAUGGCCCUUACGACCAGGGCUACACACGUGCUACAAUGGCGCAUACAAAGAGAAGCGACCUCGCGAGAGCAAGCGGACCUCAUAAAGUGCGUCGUAGUCCGGAUUGGAGUCUGCAACUCGACUCCAUGAAGUCGGAAUCGCUAGUAAUCGUGGAUCAGAAUGCCACGGUGAAUACGUUCCCGGGCCUUGUACACACCGCCCGUCACACCAUGGGAGUGGGUUGCAAAAGAAGUAGGUAGCUUAACCUUCGGGAGGGCGCUUACCACUUUGUGAUUCAUGACUGGGGUGAAGUCGUAACAAGGUAACCGUAGGGGAACCUGCGGUUGGAUCACCU
RNAcentral lists this ribosomal RNA (1532 nucleotides) under Salmonella enterica subsp. enterica. Its description in RNAcentral is "bacterial SSU rRNA". It matches the Rfam family "Bacterial small subunit ribosomal RNA". Lineage: Bacteria; Pseudomonadati; Pseudomonadota; Gammaproteobacteria; Enterobacterales; Enterobacteriaceae. The record is from RNAcentral.